This 496-nucleotide ribosomal RNA is filed under the name uncultured bacterium. RNAcentral's name for it is "partial 16S ribosomal RNA". It matches the Rfam family "Bacterial small subunit ribosomal RNA", at positions 29 to 507 of the family's 1533-position model. The record is from RNAcentral.
AUGAACGCUGGCGGCGUGCCUAAUACAUGCAAGUCGAGCGAACAGACGAGGAGCUUGCUCCUCUGACGUUAGCGGCGGACGGGUGAGUAACACGUGGAUAACCUACCUAUAAGACUGGGAUAACUUCGGGAAACCGGAGCUAAUACCGGAUAAUAUAUUGAACCGCAUGGUUCCAUAGUGAAAGACGGUUUUGCUGUUACUUAUAGAUGGAUCCGCGCCGCAUUAGCUAGUUGGUAAGGUAACGGCUUACCAAGGCAACGAUGCGUAGCCGACCUGAGAGGGUGAUCGGCCACACUGGAACUGAGACACGGUCCAGACUCCUACGGGAGGCAGCAGUAGGGAAUCUUCCGCAAUGGGCGAAAGCUUGACGGAGCAACGCCGCGUGAGUGAUGAAGGUCUUCGGAUCGUAAAACUCUGUUAUUAGGGAAGAACAAAUGUGUAAGUAACUAUGCACGUCUUGACGGUACCUAAUCAGAAAGCCACGGCUAACUACGUG